AUUGAACGCUGGCGGCAUGCCUUACACAUGCAAGUCGAACGGUAACAGGUCUUCGGACGCUGACGAGUGGCGAACGGGUGAGUAAUACAUCGGAACGUGCCCAGUCGUGGGGGAUAACUACUCGAAAGAGUAGCUAAUACCGCAUACGAUCUGAGGAUGAAAGCGGGGGACCUUCGGGCCUCGCGCGAUUGGAGCGGCCGAUGGCAGAUUAGGUAGUUGGUGGGAUAAAAAGCUUACCAAGCCGACGAUCUGUAGCUGGUCUGAGAGGACGACCAGCCUCACUGGGACUGAGACACGGCCCAGACUCCUGCGGGAGGCAGCAGUGGGGAAUUUUGGACAAUGGGCGAAAGCCUGAUCCAGCAAUGCCGCGUGCAGGAUGAAGGCCUUCGGGUUGUAAACUGCUUUUAUACGGAACGAAAAAGCUUCUCCUAAUACGAGAGGCCCAUGACGGUACCGUAAGAAUAAGCACCGGCUAACUACGUG
Molecule: ribosomal RNA, 483 nt
Filed under: uncultured bacterium
Lineage: Bacteria
Description: bacterial SSU rRNA
Rfam family: Bacterial small subunit ribosomal RNA
Source: RNAcentral